Molecule: long non-coding RNA, 2569 nt
Organism: Gasterosteus aculeatus aculeatus (three-spined stickleback)
Lineage: Eukaryota; Metazoa; Chordata; Actinopteri; Perciformes; Gasterosteidae
Source: Ensembl
CUCCCCUCCACUACCCCUCAUGACACACACACACACACACACUAUCCCCUCACUAUCUCACAGCCAAAAACUCCUCCAUUGACCUCUUCGCCCCCCCGGGCCCCUCCUCACUACACACAUUUAGACACACUCAGGGUCGGGCACCCACCCAAGUGUUGGCAUGUCGGAGCUGUAAAGGCGACGGGAGUGUCAACAACAUCGCGGCGCUGCUGCAUAAUCCUCCUCGGCCCCUCGAGCGCGGCGCCGCAGAGACGCAGCCCCAAUCAAUAAAUUAGACCUCUCGCUCAACGCGUCUCGAGGGGUAAAAAAUAGCAUCGGGGGCGUCCGAGUCAUUUCUGCCGGGACACAAACGAUGUCAUCUUUAAUUUCGGCGGACCGUUCAAUGCAAGAUGCAUAAUGGCGGAGAUUAAGGGGCCGACUUGGAGAUAAGUGUGAGGAGAGUAACGCUGGAGAGCGAAUGUAGGCCAACGGGACGAUCAAGACGUUCGCCUGUGGCUGAGAGUGACUUUUGUUCCCCGGCGUUGCUGUUUAUCCGCUGUUUUGUUGCCGUAGAUGUCCAACUGCCCAUUGCUAUUGAAUGGGUUAUUGUUCAGCGUUAUUCAUGCCCACGCAUUAUGCAAAUCCCACUCGAGCCAAUCAGCGGGGAAAGCGCUGCACAGUGCCGGUCCUCAAGGAACAGAAGAAUACUUGUCAGCGCGGGUUAUCGUGCUGAGGAAACGUUUUGUGUGGACGAGGCGUCAGCUCUUCUGUUGCUUUGACUGGGAUGAACCGAUGCCAAUUAGUUAGCUGACACAAACACGCGCACACACACACACACACACACACACACACACACACACACCAUCAUGCACACCUCGUACACACAUGAUGGAGAGACAGAUAUUCCUUUCUCAUUCGCAGAAAUACCCAAGACAUCGAUGGACGACACACAAAGCUACAACCAAAUCCUCGCAGCUCGGCUCUCUGCUUCCACAAGAAUACAAACACACACGGGAAUGUUCGCAUGCGUCACUUCUAAAUUUAUAGUAUAUUUAAGUAUAGUGUGCGGUGUCACAUGCAGACAUUUACGCCAUCAAACACAGAAAACUUUUAGUUUAGACUGACAAUCCAUCACGCGCGCACACACACACACACACACACACACACACACACACACACACACACACAAACACACACACACACACAGCAGAUUUAAAAAGACAUGCAACAUCCUAGUUGGUUAAUCACACACACAAUAAACUGAGAACACCUUGGACAUGAAGAUUGAUCUGUUUAUUAUACAUACUCUUUAUUCAAUAUCCUCAAUAAUAUCCAUCAUUAGGCACCCUACACGGUAUGUAGGUAGACUGGGAGUAGAGACUUGGUCUGCAUGCCGGAUGGUUACAAAAAACACAAAUCGACACAUGCUGUCAACAUGGGGGGGGGAAACAAAAAAACCUUCUGUCUGCAUUGUGUGUUGAUUAUUUAUACUUGUGAAACUGAUAAUUUAUUGAGAAAUAUGCAGGGAUACCAUGCAGAAAUGUGUGUGUGUGUGUGUGUGUGUGUGUGUGUGGGUGGGUGCUGUCAGCCUGUGAGAAAGUUCUUGUGCAAUAACGUUGUGUCAGUGCGGCGGUCCUUUGUGUAACCGUGUAACCAGCGCCUGGAAGUGCGUGCCAGACCUCACGGGUACAACGGGGCCGAGCCAGUGCAGGCAAGUCCUCGGACUACCUGCCAGAUGUGGAGCUGGUUAUACCUGGAUGGUUUUGGGAAUGCAAGUGUUAUAUGCAAAUGUAACCGGUUCGGACUGUAACCGAGCAAACUUGGAUAGUUUGACACUAAUAUUUCCCCAGAGCUUCUUCCCUUAUGGAGCCAACAUCAGGUGGCCAUUUAAUGGACGUUUGCCUUUUCAGACUUUUUUCACCACCUGAGGUAGCCGCUUGCUUUGGAAGAAGACUGUGUGUGUGUGUGUUACAGUACGUUAGACUGAGCCAACUGAAUUAUUAUGCUCAUUUAUUAGAUUCAUUAAGUGGUAUUGAACACAUAUUAUAACUCUUAGAAAUCAAAUAAGCCCAUUUUAUAAGUAAAAUUAUUUCUUUUGCUUGGAUGUUCUCAUGAACAUUUCAACAAAAACGCCUGAUUCAAAAAAACUGACCUGUGCAAAUGUCAAUGAGACAAAUGAGAUGCUACUCUGGUCAUUGGUGAGCUUUAAAGAUGCCGGUGUUGCCUUUGGCCGGAGUAAUGCAAACGGGUUCUAGUCUUAAUGCUACGCUGAUGGAUCACAUACUUCAAUGACAAUCACAUUGAAUAUUUUAAACAAUGUCAUCUUUAUUAAAUGGUUGUUUCAAACCAGCUCUCAAGCUCACCGACCUUUGGCGACUGCUAACCAUCUCUCCCAGUUCACAUGUUGACAGUGGAGGAAUUCCAGACUGAACGGGAGCUCAAGCCCCCCAACGCCCCCCCCCCCCCAACCGCCCCGUCCUCCGGUGGCCUUGACAGGCACGGACACGGCAUCUCUGCUCGACCGUGAAAUAGCCACUUGUGUUUUAGCCUGAACAACUCCAUUCCUAUGUGGCUGUCAGCGUGCACGCAC